Molecule: long non-coding RNA, 803 nt
Filed under: Helianthus annuus (common sunflower)
Lineage: Eukaryota; Viridiplantae; Streptophyta; Magnoliopsida; Asterales; Asteraceae
Description: sRNA HanXRQr2_Chr16g0773861
Source: RNAcentral
GGAUUUAGGCCAACAUAAAUUGGAGAAUCAAGAGUCAACAACUCUAUCAGGCAUCCAUGGCAGAAGAGAGAAUUUGGAAAUGGUCGGGUCAAAAGGGGGUUGUGGAGGAGCAAUAAAUGAACGGCGUCUGCGUAAAAAAAGCCAAUGAAAAGAUGUUGAAACUGAUAACACAAAGAAAGUUGACAAAGGGGAAAUCACAGUCGUUCUAAAACUUGACUUGCGUUGUGCCGGAUGUGCCCGUACAAUUUACUGAAGGUGUGGAAACUGUGAAAGCCGAUUGUGCGACCAACAAGCUGAUAAUAACAAGGAAAGUAGAUCCCGCUCAUAUCAAGGAGCGAGUCGAGGUGAGGACCAAGAAAACCGUAGAAAUGAUACCUCCUAAACCCAAAAAGGAUGAGGGGGUGUAACGAAAGACGAUGAGAAGCCACCGGUUGCAAAAUCUAACAACGAGAAACCCCAAAGAGGUAUCAUAGAUCAUUUGAGUAAAGGACAUGGAUUUUAGCUCACUAUUUUUGUAUUUUUAAUAAUUAGUAUGAAUUUUAUUUUAUUUUUUGUUAUUUUUUAUUUUCACAUCCCUAUCGUAUGUAUAUACGUGUAACUUUGUUUUUCUAAUGCCCUUCUAUGAAGGGGUGUCUUUGGAUAUUAGCUUAAAUGUAUAAGUUACCUUUUAUUUUUGUUGGAUUGAAAUGUCUUUUGUAAAUCUUAAAAAUUUGAGUGUCUUUGAGUGUCUUUGUGAGUUUGAAGUUGUGAUCAAAGCGGGUAAACGUGGUCAACAUAAGUCAACUAAUAGCUUUUUUAAGUUU